UGGAUGAGGCAUGCAAGUCGAAUGAAUUUAGAUUCAUGGCAGACGAGGUAGGAACACGUAGGUACGUACCCAAGAGUCAGGGAUAACCGGCCGAAAGGUCGAAUAAUACUUGAUGGUCCCUUCGGGGUAAAGAUUUAUCGCUCUUGGAACGGCCUGCGGGCUAUCAGCUUGUUGGUAAGGUAACGGCUUACCAAGGCUACGACGGCUAGGGGAGGUGAGAGCCUGACCCCCACCGAUGGAACUGCGACACGGUCCAUACUCCUACGGGAGGCUGCAGUCGAGAAUCUUCCGCAAUGGACGAAAGUCUGACGGAGCGACGCCGCGUGGUGGAUGAAGCACUUUGGUGCGUAAACACC
RNAcentral lists this ribosomal RNA (356 nucleotides) under uncultured organism. RNAcentral describes it as "bacterial SSU rRNA". It matches the Rfam family "Bacterial small subunit ribosomal RNA", at positions 45 to 433 of the family's 1533-position model. The record is from RNAcentral.